UGACUAGGGAUCGGUCACAACUUUGGACGGCGACGAUGCUAUUACCUGAUGGCAAGGAAUAUUGUUGACAUGGACAAGACUAUGGACGAGAGAUAUUUGAUAUGAUUCUAGACAUUUUUUAGCGAUAUUUGAAUCAGCUGAACCUCAAUUUUGUAGAGAUAAUUUUCAUAUUUUUUGUUAACAAUUGAUAAGAUCACGUUCUUGAUCUUUGUGCUGCUC
This 219-nucleotide long non-coding RNA is filed under the name Helianthus annuus (common sunflower). RNAcentral describes it as "sRNA HanXRQr2_Chr17g0823901". Lineage: Eukaryota; Viridiplantae; Streptophyta; Magnoliopsida; Asterales; Asteraceae. The record is from RNAcentral.